RNAcentral lists this ribosomal RNA (253 nucleotides) under uncultured bacterium. RNAcentral's name for it is "partial 16S ribosomal RNA". It matches the Rfam family "Bacterial small subunit ribosomal RNA", at positions 524 to 776 of the family's 1533-position model. The record is from RNAcentral.
UACGUAGGGUCCGAGCGUUGUCCGGAGUUACUGGGCGUAAAGCGCGCGCAGGCGGCGGUGCUGGCCCGGCGUGAAAGCCCCCGGCUCAACCGGGGAGGGUCGUCGGGGACCGCACCGCUUGAGGGCGGUAGGGGCUGGUGGAAUGCCUGGUGUAGUGGUGAAAUGCGUAGAGAUCAGGCGGAACACCCGUGGCGAAGGCGGCCAGCUGGGCCGUCCCUGACGCUGAGGCGCGAAGACGUGGGGAGCGAACGGG